AGAUGCUGCGCUAUGAGUUAUUUUGUUUUAAAUAAUAACUCAAAGUCGUAGCUUCGGU
Molecule: microRNA precursor, 58 nt
Filed under: Parasteatoda tepidariorum (common house spider)
Lineage: Eukaryota; Metazoa; Arthropoda; Arachnida; Araneae; Theridiidae
Description: microRNA pte-mir-11967 precursor
Source: miRBase by way of RNAcentral